This 253-nucleotide ribosomal RNA is filed under the name uncultured bacterium. Its description in RNAcentral is "partial 16S ribosomal RNA". It matches the Rfam family "Bacterial small subunit ribosomal RNA", at positions 524 to 776 of the family's 1533-position model. The record is from RNAcentral.
UACGUAGGGGGCAAGCGUUGUCCGGAUUUAUUGGGCGUAAAGAGCGUGUAGGCGGCUUUACAGGUCCGUUGUGAAAACUCGAGGCUCAACCUCGAGACGCCGGUGGAAACCGUAAAGCUAGAGUCCGGAAGAGGAGAGUGGAAUUCCUGGUGUAGCGGUGAAAUGCGCGGAUAUCAGGAGGAGCACCCGUGGCGAAAGCGGCUCUCUGGGACGGUACUGACGCUGAGACGCGAAAGCGUGGGGAGCAAACGGG